AUGGGGGCGGAGGAGGCGGUGGUGGAGCUGCUGGACGCGCCGCCGCUCCCUGAGGCGGCGAGGCUGACGAGGGAUGCAAUCGACGACGCGAUCAGCAGCGGGAACCCGGAGUGCGUGGUGCUGGUGCUGCGAUGCGACGCGCCCGCCAAGGAGCGGAAUGCGGCCAUCAAGCGCCUGCCGGAGAUCUCUGCCGCCGCGAGGGCGAAAGGGCUUAAUUUGAUUAUUGCAUUGACUUUUAAGAAGUCCGUGAGUUCAGUAAGGCAAGCUGAAGAGCUUCUAAGAGAGGUUUCGUUCAGGGCAAGGACGGAUUGUGUAUACUUCAUCGAGAACUACACCUGGAGCAACAGUGGCUCCAACCUCCUCCACCCCCCUGUCAUCAAGAAUGACUUUGGGACAGAUUUUACCGUGCUGACAAUCAUUCGACAGUGUCUUGAGUUCAUCAAGCUAAAUAGGAGUCAAAAGGAUAAGAAAGACCCCAAGCAGGCAGAGACACGGGCAGAUGCUAAAACAGCCCUUAAAGUAUGA
This 525-nucleotide ribosomal RNA is filed under the name Triticum aestivum (bread wheat). RNAcentral describes it as "partial small subunit ribosomal RNA". Lineage: Eukaryota; Viridiplantae; Streptophyta; Magnoliopsida; Poales; Poaceae. The record is from RNAcentral.